AACGCACAUUGCGCCCUUUGGUAUUCCGAAGGGCAUGCCUGUUCGAGCGUCAUUACACUCUCAAGCACCUGCUUGGCUUUGGGAAAGGUCCCCAUAGGACCCUUCCGUAACCUAGAGGCGGUACCGUCGAGCUUCAAGCGUAGCAGAAAACCCUCGCUUGGUUGUCCCUUCGGCACCUGCCAGCUAAGAAAUCAAAGGUUUGACCUCGGAUCAGGUAGGGAUACCCGCUGAACUUAA
Molecule: unclassified non-coding RNA, 237 nt
Filed under: uncultured fungus
Lineage: Eukaryota; Fungi
Description: partial contains 5.8S ribosomal RNA, internal transcribed spacer 2, and large subunit ribosomal RNA
Rfam family: 5.8S ribosomal RNA (bases 1-52)
Source: RNAcentral